This is a long non-coding RNA of Ornithodoros turicata, 649 nucleotides long. RefSeq lists it as uncharacterized. The transcript has 3 exons. The record is from RefSeq and is a predicted model, not a curated record. NCBI's taxonomy places the organism in Eukaryota, Metazoa, Arthropoda, Arachnida, Ixodida, Argasidae.
AUUGGCAUGGAAUUCGUUUAUAUAGUCGGUUGUAAUUGGAGUUACUUCAUACCUGAAAAGAAUGUUUCCCAUUGAAGUCUGCCAGACUGUAUUCAAAGUGACAAAUCACACAUAUCGUCUACGUACGGUAGGUACGGUGUCAUGCUCUCAAGCGACGUAAGGGUGGCUAUUCAACACAGCAGCCCUUGAUAAGGACUUGUGACAACUACAGGUGGAAGUAGCUGGUUGCAAUACAUCUACUGGAGAAGAAAAUUGAGGCUGUCAAACUAACUGAAGUUAUGCUUGGGACAGCGCUUGCCAGUUCUAUAUUGGUGGUCUUUUGUCUUCUCUGUGACCCUGCCAAGGCUAAGGAGGAAGAAGCCAUAGUUGAUGUUGUACAUGGUGUCUGCAUGUACCUGCACACAUCGAUUCCGGACGGCCAGACGAGACAAAUGAUAUUCAUGAAGUGUGCAACGGCAACCUGUAAAGCGGCCGAACGAAAAGUGUUAGUGAAGUCUUGUGAUCCCGCUCCGCCCGGAUGCUUCAAUAGAGCUAGUGGUGAAUACCCCGAUUGUUGCUCCAAACCUAUAUGCCCAGGUGGACAGAGUGGAUGAGUUUUCGCGGGCGUGUGUUGUUUUGCAGGUUAUGAAUAAAGCAUUCGCCAAAAGUG